This 790-nucleotide small RNA is filed under the name Drosophila pseudoobscura pseudoobscura. RNAcentral's name for it is "GA30974". Lineage: Eukaryota; Metazoa; Arthropoda; Insecta; Diptera; Drosophilidae. The record is from RNAcentral.
AACUUUCAAAUAUUCAGCAAAAAUAUCAAAUGGAAUGAAUUAAACAAACUGUGCAAAUCUCACCUGUGGUUAGGAUGCUGCUUCUCCUGUCUGUUGCUAUUGCAGAUGUUACACCAACAACAUGAGUAUCUAACAAACUGGAAGGCUAUUGAUACCCAGGAUACCCUGGCAAUAAUUUGGCAGGACUCCAAUAACACAAACACAAAAUAUUCAAUUCUAUCUUUUAUGAUUAUUCGACUGAUAUCUAGUACCUAGAUACAAGAUACUGAAAUAUAGACCUCCACAUAUUCUGUUAAGGUAUAAGCCUCGUACUCACCGUGUACUUGGUACAAAGAAACCAAAAUUGGACGUAUGAGUGAAAGAAAAGUGUUGCGGACAAUCGCAAACAACCGCAAUGGACAGGAGAAAGCAGCCCCUGACAGAAACGAAAACCAAACUGCUCAGACACUGUGUCAACAAUGUCUGACGAAUUGUCAGGAACCGCAAAAUGGUGUUGUUGCUAAUGUUGCUGCCCAGGCCGGGAGCCGGGUGUCGGGUCCAUGCCAGAUGACAAUGUCAACGAGGAGGUACUACGGUGGAUAGACAGGAUGCCAGUGGGAGCAUACAGGACGAACGGAACAUUCCCGAACAGAAAAGAAUAUAACAGGACGGAACGGAGAAACGGAACCCAGCAACAGGAUAGUGUGUGGACAAUUUGUGGGUGGAAAUUUGUGUGUUUUUCUGUUAGAUUUUAUUGUUAUCAUUUCAAUUUCAUACAUACAUACCAGUGUACGCCAUUCACGAUACAACA